This 24-nucleotide non-coding RNA is filed under the name Arabidopsis thaliana (thale cress). The record is from RNAcentral. Lineage: Eukaryota; Viridiplantae; Streptophyta; Magnoliopsida; Brassicales; Brassicaceae.
AAACCACUGCUGGGUUUGAACAAU